GCCGCGGUGGCGGAACUGGUAGACGCGCUGGAUUUAGGAUCCAGUGUCCUUUGGACGUGUAGGUUCGAGUCCUAUCCGCGGCA
RNAcentral lists this transfer RNA (83 nucleotides) under Fidelibacterota bacterium. Its description in RNAcentral is "Candidatus Marinimicrobia bacterium tRNA-Leu". It matches the Rfam family "tRNA". From Rfam's summary of the family: Transfer RNA (tRNA) molecules are approximately 80 nucleotides in length. Their secondary structure includes four short double-helical elements and three loops (D, anti-codon, and T loops). The record is from RNAcentral. Lineage: Bacteria; Pseudomonadati; Fidelibacterota.